This 1422-nucleotide long non-coding RNA is filed under the name Numida meleagris (helmeted guineafowl). RNAcentral describes it as "lncRNA (ENSNMEG00000009826.1)". The record is from RNAcentral. Lineage: Eukaryota; Metazoa; Chordata; Aves; Galliformes; Numididae.
AUGCUGCAGACCUAUCAGCUGUCAAAACAGCAUUCUCCAGCUUGUGCACAGCUUAAACAAACACACUUCCACCUGCCAAAUUCAAUUGCACAGAGGAACCACCAGCUGACCAGUAUGAAAAGAAAGGAGGAAGCAGAUGUGGAAAAACAGGUAGGUGGAAAUGAUACAUCCAGAAAGACAGUGCCACCCCAGCCCUGCACAAGAAGCCCACAUUGUGAGCAUAGAGAUCUCAGACUGUCCAGUUCCAAAAUGCAAUCUCAAAUGCAGAAAUAAGGAAAAAGCCAUGGAAUCAGUCACCACUAAGAAAGGAAAAAGAAAACUGUAGUCCAGUGAUUCAGACCAGACUUUCAUGAUUGUCAAAGUCAUCUGAAGGAGCACUUACGAUAUUUGGUGGAUUUGAUCAUAAGUAGAAAUGAUAAAAUAUGAGGUAGUUCUGAUGUACCCCUGUUACUGUAAACUCACAGCACAAGGAUCUCUGGAUACCAUCAGUCCACAGCAUCUCCAGAAGAUCCCAGUAAUAUGUUAACAUGAUGGGAUUGCAGAGGUCCUGGGACUUUAUGAGCUUCAUGGCAUAUGCAUUAACCAUGAUGGAAGCCAUCAUUAAGAGUUAUUCUGCAGCUGUAACAAACUCUUAGAAUGGCCAUUGAGAGUCUUUAGUAAUCAUACACAAAUGCUCUUGUAUUCAUGACUUUGUCCCAUUACUCCUUAUGAAAAUGUUUGAAACUGCCUCACAAGUUAACACCAUGAUUUAAUGAAGCAUGAUUUAAUGCUACUUGCCAAGAAAAUGGCCUACAAACAGGUGCAAUGAAAAAUAUAAAAUGAGAGAUAAAAUAGCCAUACAAAACUCAAAGAAAUACUCACUUAUACUCACUGAAAUAUUCAUUUUGACAACACUUUUCAGAAUGUUUUCAAAUCAAAAUGAACUAUAAGUUAUCACUAGACCUCUGAAACAUUUUGUGCCAUAUGUCAACCUCUCCAAAAAAAAUGUCUGUUGACUUUCUACAUGCUAGCAAUUCCAUAAUUUUUUAAUAAUUUUGCUUUUUUAAGACCCAAAAUAAGAUCUUCCAGCUGAGGUUUUCCACCAGUUUUUUUCUAGGAGAAGUUUCAAACUAUAGUAAAGAAAACAUCAACAAACAAGCAGAGCACUCGCAGUGGAAUCUGUACAGGGACUGUAAGCAUGCUAAAAUUAUCUAAUGCAGGAGCUGAUACCUGCCACAGAGCACUAAAUGCCCCUGUCUGGGAAAAAAGAUCAGUUUAGUACCCUGUUGCAUUCCUGCUUCACUAUAGUAUAAUUAAGCAAAAAAGCCAUUACAGCCCUAAUCAGAUACUUGCAGCAAAGCCAGACAUGGUCCUGCUUAGGGGAAAUCCUGUUAGGAAUACUUCUUGAAUAAAGAGUGACACAAAAGAGAUUUGGAAGAAGUU